GGGCGUUAAGUUGCAGGGUAUAGACCCGAAACCCGGUGAUCUAGCCAUGGGCAGGUUGAAGGUUGGGUAACACUAACUGGAGGACCGAACCGACUAAUGUUGAAAAAUUAGCGGAUGACUUGUGGCUGGGGGUGAAAGGCCAAUCAAACCGGGAGAUAGCUGGUUCUCCCCGAAAGCUAUUUAGGUAGCGCCUCGUGAAUUCAUCUCCGGGGGUAGAGCACUGUUUCGGCAAGGGGGUCAUCCCGACUUACCAACCCGAUGCAAACUGCGAAUACCGGAGAAUGUUAUCACGGGAGACACACGGCGGGUGCUAACGUCCGUCGUGAAGAGGGAAACAACCCAGACCGCCAGCUAAGGUCCCAAAGUCAUGGUUAAGUGGGAAACGAUGUGGGAAGGCCCAGACAGCCAGGAUGUUGGCUUAGAAGCAGCCAUCAUUUAAAGAAAGCGUAAUAGCUCACUGGUCGAGUCGGCCUGCGCGGAAGAUGUAACGGGGCUAAACCAUGCACCGAAGCUGCGGCAGCGACACUGUGUGUUGUUGGGUAGGGGAGCGU
Molecule: ribosomal RNA, 551 nt
Filed under: Escherichia coli
Lineage: Bacteria; Pseudomonadati; Pseudomonadota; Gammaproteobacteria; Enterobacterales; Enterobacteriaceae
Description: partial 23S ribosomal RNA
Rfam family: Bacterial large subunit ribosomal RNA
Source: RNAcentral